RNAcentral lists this ribosomal RNA (253 nucleotides) under uncultured bacterium. Its description in RNAcentral is "partial 16S ribosomal RNA". It matches the Rfam family "Bacterial small subunit ribosomal RNA", at positions 524 to 776 of the family's 1533-position model. The record is from RNAcentral.
UACGUAGGGUGCAAGCGUUGUCCGGAAUUAUUGGGCGUAAAGAGCUCGUAGGCGGUUUGUCACGUCGGCUGUGAAAACCCGAGGCUCAACCUCGGGCCUGCAGUCGAUACGGGCAGACUAGAGUAUGGCAGGGGAGACUGGAAUUACUGGUGUAGCGGUGAAAUGCGCAGAUAUCAGGAGGAACACCGGUGGCGAAGGCGGGUCUCUGGGCCAUAACUGACGCUGAGGAGCGAAAGCGUGGGGAGCGAACAGG